CUUAAAUUGAAGAGUUUGAUCAUGGCUCAGAUUGAACGCUGGCGGCAGGCCUAACACAUGCAAGUCGAGCGGUAGCACAGAAGAGCUUGCUCUUCGGGUGACGAGCGGCGGACGGGUGAGUAAUGUCUGGGAAACUGCCUGAUGGAGGGGGAUAACUACUGGAAACGGUAGCUAAUACCGCAUAACGUCUUCGGACCAAAGAGGGGGACCUUAGGGCCUCUUGCCAUCGGAUGUGCCCAGAUGGGAUUAGCUAGUAGGCGGGGUAAUGGCCCACCUAGGCGACGAUCCCUAGCUGGUCUGAGAGGAUGACCAGCCACACUGGAACUGAGACACGGUCCAGACUCCUACGGGAGGCAGCAGUGGGGAAUAUUGCACAAUGGGCGCAAGCCUGAUGCAGCCAUGCCGCGUGUGUGAAGAAGGCCUUCGGGUUGUAAAGCACUUUCAGCGGGGAGGAAGGCAAUAAGGCUAAUAUCCUUAUUGAUUGACGUUACCCGCAGAAGAAGCACCGGCUAACUCCGUGCCAGCAGCCGCGGUAAUACGGAGGGUGCAAGCGUUAAUCGGAAUGACUGGGCGUAAAGCGCACGCAGGCGGUCUGUUAAGUUGGAUGUGAAAUCCCCGGGCUUAACCUGGGAACUGCAUUCAAAACUGACAGGCUAGAGUCUUGUAGAGGGGGGUAGAAUUCCAGGUGUAGCGGUGAAAUGCGUAGAGAUCUGGAGGAAUACCGGUGGCGAAGGCGGCCCCCUGGACAAAGACUGACGCUCAGGUGCGAAAGCGUGGGGAGCAAACAGGAUUAGAUACCCUGGUAGUCCACGCUGUAAACGAUGUCGACUUGGAGGUUGUGCCCUUGAGGCGUGGCUUCCGGAGCUAACGCGUUAAGUCGACCGCCUGGGGAGUACGGCCGCAAGGUUAAAACUCAAAUGAAUUGACGGGGGCCCGCACAAGCGGUGGAGCAUGUGGUUUAAUUCGAUGCAACGCGAAGAACCUUACCUACUCUUGACAUCCACAGAAUUCGGCAGAGAUGCCUUAGUGCCUUCGGGAACUGUGAGACAGGUGCUGCAUGGCUGUCGUCAGCUCGUGUUGUGAAAUGUUGGGUUAAGUCCCGCAACGAGCGCAACCCUUAUCCUUUGUUGCCAGCGAUUCGGUCGGGAACUCAAAGGAGACUGCCGGUGAUAAACCGGAGGAAGGUGGGGAUGACGUCAAGUCAUCAUGGCCCUUACGAGUAGGGCUACACACGUGCUACAAUGGCGUAUACAAAGAGAAGCGACCUCGCGAGAGCAAGCGGACCUCAUAAAGUACGUCGUAGUCCGGAUUGGAGUCUGCAACUCGACUCCAUGAAGUCGGAAUCGCUAGUAAUCGUAGAUCAGAAUGCUACGGUGAAUACGUUCCCGGGCCUUGUACACACCGCCCGUCACACCAUGGGAGUGGGUUGCAAAAGAAGUAGGUAGCUUAACCUUCGGGAGGGCGCUUACCACUUUGUGAUUCAUGACUGGGGUGAAGUCGUAACAAGGUAACCGUAGGGGAACCUGCGGUUGGAUCACCUCCUUACC
This 1547-nucleotide ribosomal RNA is filed under the name Pectobacterium betavasculorum. RNAcentral's name for it is "bacterial SSU rRNA". It matches the Rfam family "Bacterial small subunit ribosomal RNA". The record is from RNAcentral. Lineage: Bacteria; Pseudomonadati; Pseudomonadota; Gammaproteobacteria; Enterobacterales; Pectobacteriaceae.